UUGGGUGUGACUGCGUACCUUUUGUAUAAUGGGUCAGCGACUUAUAUUCUGUAGCAAGGUUAACCGAAUAGGGGAGCCGGAGGGAAACCGAGUCUUAACCGGGCGUUAAGUUGCAGGGUAUAGACCCGAAACCCGGUGAUCUAGCCAUGGGCAGGUUGAAGGUUGGGUAACACUAACUGGAGGACCGAACCGACUAAUGUUGAAAAAUUAGCGGAUGACCUGUGGCUGGGGGUGAAAGGCCAAUCAAACCGGGAGAUAGCUGGUUCUCCCCGAAAGCUAUUUAGGUAGCGCCUCGUGAAUUCAUCUCCGGGGGUAGAGCACUGUUUCGGCUAGGGGGCCAUCCCGGCUUACCAACCCGAUGCAAACUGCGAAUACCGGAGAAUGUUAUCACGGGAGACACACGGCGGGUGCUAACGUCCGUCGUGAAGAGGGAAACAACCCAGACCGCCAGCUAAGGUCCCAAAGUCAUGGUUAAGUGGGAAACGAUGUGGGAAGGCCCAGACAGCCAGGAUGUUGGCUUAGAAGCAGCCAUCAUUUAAAGAAAGCGUAAUAGCUCACUGGUCGAGUCGGCCUGCGCGGAAGAUGUAACGGGGCUAAACCAUGCACCGAAGCUGCGGCAGCGACACUGUGUGUUGUUGGGUAGGGGAGC
RNAcentral lists this ribosomal RNA (649 nucleotides) under Salmonella enterica. RNAcentral's name for it is "partial 23S ribosomal RNA". It matches the Rfam family "Bacterial large subunit ribosomal RNA", at positions 587 to 1237 of the family's 2925-position model. Lineage: Bacteria; Pseudomonadati; Pseudomonadota; Gammaproteobacteria; Enterobacterales; Enterobacteriaceae. The record is from RNAcentral.